GUGAGGAAUAUUGGACAAUGGAUGGAAAUCUGAUCCAGCCAUGCCGCGUGCAGGAAGACGGCCCUAUGGGUUGUAAACUGCUUUUAUACGGGAGCAAUAAGGUCUAUGCAUAGAUUGAUGAGAGUACCGUAUGAAUAAGCAUCGGCUAACUCCGUGCCAGCAGCCGCGGUAAUACGGAGGAUGCGAGCGUUAUCCGGAUUUAUUGGGUUUAAAGGGUGCGUAGGCGGCUUUGUAAGUCAGCGGUGAAAUUUUGCAGCUUAACUGUAAAAGCGCCGUUGAUGCUGUGAAGCUAGGAUUUGGUUGCUGUGGGCGGAAUGUGUGGUGUAGCGGUGAAAUGCAUAGAGAUCACACAGAAUAUCGAUUGCGAAGGCAGCUCACAAAGCCAAUAUUGACGCUGAGGCACGAAAGUGUGGGGAUCAAACAGGAUUAGAUACCCCAGUAGUCC
This 445-nucleotide ribosomal RNA is filed under the name uncultured bacterium. RNAcentral describes it as "partial 16S ribosomal RNA". It matches the Rfam family "Bacterial small subunit ribosomal RNA", at positions 354 to 796 of the family's 1533-position model. The record is from RNAcentral.